This 507-nucleotide ribosomal RNA is filed under the name Bacillus amyloliquefaciens. Its description in RNAcentral is "bacterial SSU rRNA". It matches the Rfam family "Bacterial small subunit ribosomal RNA", at positions 385 to 883 of the family's 1533-position model. Lineage: Bacteria; Bacillati; Bacillota; Bacilli; Caryophanales; Bacillaceae. The record is from RNAcentral.
GACGGAGCACGCCGCGUGAGUGAUGAAGGUUUUCGGAUCGUAAAGCUCUGUUGUUAGGGAAGAACAAGUGCCGUUCAAAUAGGGCGGCACCUUGACGGUACCUAACCAGAAAGCCACGGCUAACUACGUGCCAGCAGCCGCGGUAAUACGUAGGUGGCAAGCGUUGUCCGGAAUUAUUGGGCGUAAAGGGCUCGCAGGCGGUUUCUUAAGUCUGAUGUGAAAGCCCCCGGCUCAACCGGGGAGGGUCAUUGGAAACUGGGGAACUUGAGUGCAGAAGAGGAGAGUGGAAUUCCACGUGUAGCGGUGAAAUGCGUAGAGAUGUGGAGGAACACCAGUGGCGAAGGCGACUCUCUGGUCUGUAACUGACGCUGAGGAGCGAAAGCGUGGGGAGCGAACAGGAUUAGAUACCCUGGUAGUCCACGCCGUAAACGAUGAGUGCUAAGUGUUAGGGGGUUUCCGCCCCUUAGUGCUGCAGCUAACGCAUUAAGCACUCCGCCGGGGGAGGAA